AUUGAACGCUGGCGGCAGGCCUAACACAUGCAGGUCGAACGGUAACAGAAAGCAGCUUGCUGCUUUGCUGACGAGUGGCGGACGGGUGAGUAAUGUCUGGGAAACUGCCUGAUGGAGGGGGAUAACUACUGGAAACGGUAGCUAAUACCGCAUAACGUCGCAAGACCAAAGAGGGGGACCUUCGGGCCUCUUGCCAUCGGAUGUGCCCAGAUGGGAUUAGCUAGUAGGUGGGGUAACGGCUCACCUAGGCGACGAUCCCUAGCUGGUCUGAGAGGAUGACCAGCCACACUGGAACUGAGACACGGUCCAGACUCCUACGGGAGGCAGCAGUGGGGAAUAUUGCACAAUGGGCGCAAGCCUGAUGCAGCCAUGCCGCGUGUAUGAAGAAGGCCUUCGGGUUGUAAAGUACUUUCAGCGAGGAGGAAGGUGUUGUGGUUAAUAACCGCAGCAAUUGACGUUACUCGCAGAAGAAGCACCGGCUAACUCCGUGCCAGCAGCCGCAGUAA
RNAcentral lists this ribosomal RNA (506 nucleotides) under uncultured bacterium. Its description in RNAcentral is "partial 16S ribosomal RNA". It matches the Rfam family "Bacterial small subunit ribosomal RNA", at positions 30 to 523 of the family's 1533-position model. The record is from RNAcentral.